AAGCUUUUUGCUCGCGUUAUGU
This 22-nucleotide microRNA is filed under the name Notamacropus eugenii (tammar wallaby). RNAcentral's name for it is "Neu-Mir-208-P1_5p* (star (passenger))". The record is from RNAcentral. Lineage: Eukaryota; Metazoa; Chordata; Mammalia; Diprotodontia; Macropodidae. RNAcentral also lists the same sequence under 8 other names.